Molecule: long non-coding RNA, 177 nt
Organism: Coregonus clupeaformis (lake whitefish)
Lineage: Eukaryota; Metazoa; Chordata; Actinopteri; Salmoniformes; Salmonidae
Exons: 3
Source: RefSeq, a predicted model, not a curated record
UGUCUGGAGCUGAUUGCAAGUGAAACACCUUUAGAUGUGCUAAUGGAAACCUCAGGGACAGACAUCCUGAACGACUCUGAUGUCAGAGCUCCCAUCAGCCCCCUACACUUAGCUGUGAGUAAAGCCUACCUGCUCCUGUAGGGGUCUCGCCACAUGACAAAUGGCACCCUCUUCCCU